ACCUCUGCAAUAGGCGAAAGCCUGACAGGGUUAUUCUGAGUGACUUUCGCUAAGAAAGUCUUUUGACACCUCUAAAAAUGGUGUAGAAUAAGGGGUGGGCAAGUCUGGUGUCAGCCGCCGCGGUAAUACCAGCACCCCGAGUGGUCGGGACGAUUAUUGGGCCUAAAGCAUCCGUAGCCGGUUCUACAAGUCUUCCGUUAAAUCCACCUGCUUAACAGAUGGGCUGCGGAGGAUACUAUAGAGCUAGGAGGCGGGAGAGGCAAGCGGUACUUAGUGGGUAGGGGUAAAAUCCGUUGAUCCAUUGAAGACCACCAGUGGCGAAGGCGGCUUGCCAGAACGCACUCGACGGUGAGGGAUGAAAGCUGGGGGAGCAAACCGGAUUAGAUACCCGGGUAGUCCCAGCUGUAAACGAUGCAGACUCGGUGAUGAAUAGGCUUCGUGCCUAUUCAGUGCCGCAGGGAAGCCGUUAAGUCUGCCGCCUGGGGAGUACGGUCGCAAGACUGAAACUUAA
Molecule: ribosomal RNA, 511 nt
Filed under: uncultured archaeon
Lineage: Archaea
Description: bacterial SSU rRNA
Rfam family: Archaeal small subunit ribosomal RNA
Source: RNAcentral